RNAcentral lists this ribosomal RNA (734 nucleotides) under Guibemantis pulcher (Tsarafidy Madagascar frog). RNAcentral describes it as "partial 12S ribosomal RNA". The stretch from base 1 to 510 matches the Rfam family "Bacterial small subunit ribosomal RNA", at positions 783 to 1533 of the family's 1533-position model. Lineage: Eukaryota; Metazoa; Chordata; Amphibia; Anura; Mantellidae. The record is from RNAcentral.
UACCCCACUAUGCCUAGCCGUAAAAAAUUAACCUACAAUAAUAAGCGCCAGGGUAUUACGAGUGCAAACUUAAAAUCCAAAGGAUUUGACGGUGUCCCACCCACCUAGAGGAGCCUGUUCUAUAAUCGAUAAUCCUCGAUAUACCUCACCAUUUCUUGCUAUCCAGUCUGUAUACCUCCGUCGCAAGCUUACCAUUUGAAUGCAAAAAAGUAAGUUUAAUGAUUAUUCAUCAACACGUCAGGUCAAGGUGCAACCAAUGAAACGGGAAGCAAUGGGCUACAAUUUCUAUAAUAGAACAUACGAAAUAUAACAUGAAAAACAGUCAUGAAGGCGGAUUUAGUAGUAAAAGAAGAAUAGCAUGCUUCUUUUAACAAGGCUCUGGGACGUGUACAAACCGCCCGUCACCCUCUUCAAUAGUAUACUCUAAUUUAUAAUCUUAAAAAACGUCUUAGAAGAGGCAAGUCGUAACAUGGUAAGUGUACUGGAAAGUGCACUUGGCAAAUCAAAAUGUAGCUUAAAUAAAGCAUCUCGCUUACACCGAAAAAAUGUCUGUUUAACCCAGAUCAUUUUGAGCCAACAAUCUAGUCCAUUAAUACUCAAAUACCCCCCCCCACCGAAUAAAAUUUUAAUAAAACAUUUUAACUUUAUAGUAGAGGCGAUCAAAAAAUUUCUUGGCACUUCAGAUCAAGUACCGCAAGGGAAAGAUGAAAUAAAAAUGAAAUAAAUUCAAGCAU